GAUGAACGCUAGCGAUAGGCUUAACACAUGCAAGUCGAGGGGCAGCACAAGGUAGCUUGCUAUCUGGGUGGCGACCGGCGCACGGGUGCGUAACGCGUAUGCAACUUGCCCUAUACAGGAGGAUAACCCGUCGAAAGACGGACUAAUACUGCGUAUGCUCACAACUUGGCAUCAAGUGGUGAGGAAAGAAAUUCGGUAUAGGAUAGGCAUGCGUCCCAUUAGCUUGUUGGUGAGGUAACGGCUCACCAAGGCAACGAUGGGUAGGGGAACUGAGAGGUUUAUCCCCCACACUGGUACUGAGACACGGACCAGACUCCUACGGGAGGCAGCAGUGAGGAAUAUUGGUCAAUGGGCGCGAGCCUGAACCAGCCAAGUCGCGUGAAGGAUGACUGUCUUAUGGAUUGUAAACUUCUUUUAUACGGGAAUAACAUGAGUCACGUGUGACUCCCUGCAUGUACCGUAUGAAUAAGCAUCGGCUAACUCCGUG
This 487-nucleotide ribosomal RNA is filed under the name uncultured bacterium. RNAcentral's name for it is "partial 16S ribosomal RNA". It matches the Rfam family "Bacterial small subunit ribosomal RNA", at positions 28 to 507 of the family's 1533-position model. The record is from RNAcentral.